GAUUGUCGAAGACAUGGUAAUGGCCGAGUUGUUUUUGAGAUAACUGGCGAUUUCCGGCGGUACGACGCCGCCAAAAUUCU
Molecule: transfer RNA, 80 nt
Filed under: Pseudomonas fluorescens
Lineage: Bacteria; Pseudomonadati; Pseudomonadota; Gammaproteobacteria; Pseudomonadales; Pseudomonadaceae
Description: tRNA-Gln
Source: RNAcentral